AUAAACUGAAAAUUUAGGAACCGGUCAGUCGCCAACCAUGUUGGUUGGUGGAUGAUUGAUUCCUAAAAUUUCAGUUAAU
Molecule: non-coding RNA, 79 nt
Organism: Hydra vulgaris (swiftwater hydra)
Lineage: Eukaryota; Metazoa; Cnidaria; Hydrozoa; Anthoathecata; Hydridae
Source: RefSeq, marked provisional